RNAcentral lists this long non-coding RNA (149 nucleotides) under Ictidomys tridecemlineatus (thirteen-lined ground squirrel). RNAcentral describes it as "lncRNA (ENSSTOG00000030388.1)". The record is from RNAcentral. Lineage: Eukaryota; Metazoa; Chordata; Mammalia; Rodentia; Sciuridae.
CCAUUGUGAAAGAUUUUUCCCACAGGAGCCUUUUCUGGAAGAUCAGAACAUAAAUUUACUGAAGGAGCAGCUGAUGGCUGCCAUCACUGUAACAGCUCUGAGCAUGCCUUUACCAGGUUGACACAAGUGACUCCAUUUUGAUCCUGAUA